GUGUAUGUGUGAAAAUCAGGAAGAGCCAGCGGGGAGUGUGUGUUGCCAUCGCGUCUCCGCCUGCAGCUCGGCUUCGCCAUCCGCAUCAUCUCCAUCCAUUAUUGAAGAAACAGCCGCGUCCGCUCCAAUCACAUCAACACCCCCGCCCCCUUUCCGUUCCGCUCGCCCAGCGGCCCUCUGGGUGCUGAGGAGAGGGGAAGCCAAGGCGCGGUGGGGGCGCCGGGUGGGAAUGGGCUUAUGACCCUUGCCCCAAGCCCGGCCAGGAGCCGGGACGCCGGGGUCCCCGGCGGAGAGCGCUUUGCAUAAACAGAUGGCGCGGGCGGCUUUGUCUCACUCGUUCGCUCACCGCGCAGCUCCCGGCUCCGCUUCUGUCUGGCUGACACUUUAUCUCAUUAUCCGCCGGAGUGAGGCGGAGAGCCCGGGACCCCGCAGCCUAAUUACAGCCGCGCUUGUCAGAGUAGGGGGCGGCGGAAGUAUCAGCGAGAAGGAAAGGGAGGCGGACCCUAGAAAGCGCCCUCUCCCUCCCUGUACCCCGACGAUCCCAGAGACGGGUGCAUAGCUCGCUCCCGCCCGCGCCCUCCACAGGGCGGGCUCUGGAGGGGGAGGUGCUCUGCAGGAUCGGCUGCGAGGAGGGAGGGGGUGGUGGAGGUUAUCGUGGGAGUGGGGAGAGAUAUUAGGACUCGGUUCCUACGUCCCUAAGACCCAAAUUCCCCAGAGACGGGGGCUGUGAGCCUCCCCACCCCAGCAGCACAGCACACACCUGAGAUGGUUGAGGACAGGAGGGAAUCGCUUGCAUUUCUGUGUCUGUGUCUUGUUCUCUUUCAGCAUCUGUCCGAUCUUUCCUGUUUCCCCCACUCCAUUCCCUUCCUAUCCAUCCCACAGCCAGAGGAAGUGGAUGGCCUCCUUGGGCGGCCCCACCUUUACCCUACCCCAGGUGCAGACAUCUGGAGGAGAGAGUCGGAGAGCAGAAACCACUUGGCUCCCAGACAAUUCCCCUACAGGCUUUGGGCCUGGAAUUGAGGAGAAAGGGCGGGACCCCAGGAGGAGGGAGAGGACAGAGCCACUGCAGAGGACCAGACUGGGAAAACAACGAUAUGGCAGGAGCCAGUCUUGGGGCCCGCUUCUACCGGCAGAUCAAAAGACAUCCGGGGAUCAUCCCGAUGAUCGGCUUAAUCUGCCUGGGCAUGGGCAGCGCUGCGCUUUACUUGCUGCGACUCGCCCUUCGCAGCCCCGACGUCUGCUGGGACAGAAAGAACAACCCGGAGCCCUGGAACCGCCUGAGCCCCAAUGACCAAUACAAGUUCCUUGCAGUUUCCACUGACUAUAAGAAGCUGAAGAAGGACCGGCCAGACUUCUAAGCCAGGCUGGGCUGCCAGUGCCAUGCAAGCCACAGCCAGCCAGCCCAUCCACUUCUUCCACUCCUCCCCGCAGGCCCCAAGGCAUCACUCCGGCCACCCUGUCCCGCUACUGCUUACACAGGCCGGGUUCCCACGCAGAGGGGAGGCUGCUCCACCCCUACUCUCCUCCCUUGCUCCCAGCAGCGGAAGCGCCUCUGACCCUUGGCUUGAGUCCCACGUGGGGGAGGAGGAGGCAGGCAGCACCAGCAGGGGUCCACCAAGAGCCCAGACCAGCCCCUCUGCCCUCCUACCCGGGCCUCGAAGGGUGUGGCACAGGCUACGUGUUGAGCGUGGCCUACGUGAGCCAACAAGAAGCAGGGGCCUCUGAGUGCCAAGCGACGUGGCGGGCUCCACGUUAGCCCAGGCUCUGAGAGCCAGCCCAGGGGCGGCGCUGCUCAGCUUGGGCUGGUCCAGGGCCUGCCCAGGCUGGGGCACCUUUGCCUCCUGAGGCGCAGCGCACUCCUCCCCUGCCCAAGCCUACUGCCUCCCGCUGCCGCCAGUACCCCCUCCAGCCCCACACCUGGGCCUCCCCCUGCCACUCCCCUCCCUUGCUCCCCUCUGUCCCCAGGGAUCAAACAGAAGCAGCCGUGGGCAAAAUACAAUUUCAUUUAAC
Molecule: long non-coding RNA, 2010 nt
Filed under: Homo sapiens (human)
Lineage: Eukaryota; Metazoa; Chordata; Mammalia; Primates; Hominidae
Description: non-protein coding lnc-NDUFA4L2-1:1
Source: RNAcentral